This 2550-nucleotide long non-coding RNA is filed under the name Mus musculus (house mouse). RNAcentral's name for it is "predicted gene, 29946". Lineage: Eukaryota; Metazoa; Chordata; Mammalia; Rodentia; Muridae. The record is from RNAcentral.
GGGGGGUCACUAUGAGGAUGUGGGAGUCAUUGUGAGGUGAUGGGAACUAUUGUAAGGUGACCAGGGUUAGCUACUAUGAUGCUGUCGGGGGUCACUGAGAAUUGAUGGAGUCACCAUGAGGUGAUGGGGUCACUAUGGUGAUGUGGUAACAAUCAUUUCCUCUCUUUGGCAUGUGAAAUUGGAGCCUAUCUUUGAUGAACGUCAUCUUCACCACAACUACACAGAAUUAAGCAAUUGAGUGAUUUUGAUUGACGUGGAAGAGUCUUCACUUCCAACACUGUGGAAAUCUCUGAGUCAAGUUGGGGAUAUCUAGUCCUGUUCUCUGGUGAGCAGAUGCCUGUGUGGGCUUCAUGGGUUGCACAUCCAAGACUUGCGUCAAGGAUGGAAUCACCUGGGACAGAAAACUUCUGUGCUAGCAGACAAGAAAGCCCAGGAUCAUGCCUGUGUCCUUCAGUUCAGUAGAUACUCAAGAUCCCUGAGUGCCUAAGAGGAGUCAGCUUGUUUCAUGUGGGGUUACUCACCCUAUCCUGUUUCAUUUCAACUUAUGACAACUGGAGUCUCUCGUCUGAAGUCACACAUGAGUUACAUGUGGUUUGGAUCUGGCCUGAGAAGGAGCCUCAACCAAACACUCAGCAUUUUGGUCUGAGAAGAAGGUUGCAUUAUACUCUAAGUACCUGUUUCCUCAAGAAAGCAUCUUAGUAGCUAAGCACAGCAGCACCUGCAGAAAUCUUCAACUCGUAAGCGGCAAGGAAUGGUCUGAAGUACCCAUGUUUACUUUACUCAGGGGGAGAGCAGCUUUGGGCGUUCUCUCCUCUCGCAAGGAUGGACUUUUAGCUCACUGUAAAAGCCGAGAAAAAUCAACAUUCACAGCCUUUGGGACACAGCAAGGACCUACUCGACUCUCCUUCCCCUGUCCGUCCUUUAUCAGAAACAACGGUAACAGCCGACACAACAAUCCUGCUGUGCUAAAACACAAUGGAUCUCAAGUGUGGGUCACAAUGAUACUGGAUUUACACGCGGAAAUUAUCAGCAAAGAGUAGGAGAAACGACUGGAAAGGAAGAAAGAGAAGAAGGCAGAAGAGAAGAGAAUGAAGUAAGGGGGACAAAAAGACAAGAGACACAUUGACAGAAGGAAGAACAGACAAGAGGUGAGGUAUGCACUCCUGAAUGGUAGUAAAUCAGUGUCAUUAGGAUGCAGCUAUUCCCAUAGCAAGUGUCCUCCUGAGCCCCACCCCCUCCUCUCACCAGAAAUUGAUAAACCAGCCAGUGGAGUACUAAUUACUUAGCUAGUACUUCUGGGAUUUUAUUCCAUACCAGACCCCCAUACAUAGCAUGCCGGGAUUAGCGUUAGCUCUCUGAAAUGAAGCUGCAGUAAGAGGACCACAUGGUGUGGACUGUACCCCGACGACUAUUUCAGCCAGCUGUAAUUGUCAUGUUCAUCUGGAAGCUGAGUGGUUCCAGUAAUAGAAAUGGGUCACGGGAAGUGUGCGUUAUUGUCCUGGCAUGUCAUUAUAUGACCUUGGUUGGCUGAUCUCUAGGCCUUGGUUUCUUUAUUUGUUAAAUGUGGACAAGAAUUUCCUGUCCUGAUUAUUUCACAGGGGCAUUGGGAAGAUGAAGCAUGGAAGGAUAAACCCUCUCGUACUGUGAUAAGGAUGAAAUGCCAGAAGAACCUAAAGCUGGCCUUAUGCUUUUUCAUUUAACAAGGUGGUGGGUAGGUGGGGCAGGGGGGUUGGUAGGAUGGCAUUAUGUGCAGAAGGCUUGGUGACUCAAAGCAGUAUCCUUUUUCUCACCAGUAAUAUCUGGUCUGGGAUUAUUACUGCUUUCUUGGUGAUUUUAGGCAUUCCCUUCUCCUUCAGAAAUGCCAAAGGAGCAAACACUAUUCUGCGGCUGUAAUUUGUCACCCUUGCAGCCUGAGCAAGAUGCAGACAGUUCAGUAAUUAAGCUUUUCAACGUGCAUCAUAAAGUUUUAUUCUGGCAAAAGCUAUAUUUAUCAGCUAACAAGUAUUAAAUCACCCUACUGCUCAAGUCGUUUCUCACUUGAAUAUGCUCCUUUCAAAACACAGCAGCUUUCCCUGGCUGGCUUGACUAAUAAAAGUCCUUACUUGGAAAUACGGUGGUGAUGUGUGGUCUUGCGAAGUAGAAAUACAUCCGAACACUGUUCUAAGCCUGGCUGACUCCCAUCUUCUGAGGGGGUAAUGGUGGACAUCUUUGCCCUGCGGUCUUUUAUAGCAUUCUUCCAAUAGCUACUAGGACAUGGAUUUCCUUAGCUAUUUCUUUUCUAAAGGGAAAGAAGCAGGUUGAAGUUCAAAUGCGGCAGACAUCUUCAGCACGAUUGAAACAGUGAGGUGACAAUGAACUCUUUAUUGGGGAGGAUGGAGUCUCUGCUCAUGUUGUAACGUCUUAACAAACGUACAGAAGUCAUGGGAUAAUAUGCAUAGAAUGAAGAGCUAUGAAAUGUCUUAGGAAUGUCUUGCAAGAAUGAUUCUAUAACUAAUGUAUUUUCCUCUUUACAGGUUUUCCCUCCCUUGUAGGACAUAAGUAUUCCAUGGU